UACGUAGGGUGCAAGCGUUAAUCGGAAUUACUGGGCGUAAAGCGUGCGCAGGCGGCUUUGCAAGACAGAUGUGAAAUCCCCGGGCUUAACCUGGGAACUGCAUUUGUGACUGCAUGGCUGGAGUGCGGCAGAGGGGGAUGGAAUUCCGGCGUGUAGCAGUGAAAUGCGUAGAGUAUGCGGAGGAACACCGAUGGCGAAGGCAAUCCCCUGGGCCUGCACUGACGCUCAUGCACGAAAGCAUGGGGAUCAAACAGG
RNAcentral lists this ribosomal RNA (255 nucleotides) under uncultured bacterium. Its description in RNAcentral is "partial 16S ribosomal RNA". It matches the Rfam family "Bacterial small subunit ribosomal RNA", at positions 524 to 776 of the family's 1533-position model. The record is from RNAcentral.